Long non-coding RNA from Melanotaenia boesemani (Boeseman's rainbowfish), 963 nucleotides. RefSeq lists it as uncharacterized. The record is from RefSeq and is a predicted model, not a curated record. The transcript is spliced from 2 exons. Lineage: Eukaryota; Metazoa; Chordata; Actinopteri; Atheriniformes; Melanotaeniidae.
GCACAAAUUUUUAUUGAACAAAUGUCAGCAAAGGAAAUAGCAUUUCCAUGCUAUGCUAAUUAGCUAGUUAAGCUUAUGAAGAAGAUGCUCUGGUCCAGUCACUUCUGCUUUGUUCUGUAGUGAUAAAAUCAGGUGAAAUAUAUGUCAGCAAAGGGAAUAGCAUUCUCAUGCUAUGUUGUUAAUGAACUAGUUAAGCUAAUGAAGAAGGUGAAACCAAGCAUCAGCAUGUGAAUACUGUCAUUGAGUAUGUUGGCAACCUGGUUAUAUAAAACUGUAUGAACAGCUGAGGAAAACCACCCAAAAUCUAAAAUAAAACACAGCUCUGGAGAGUUAGGUAACGUUUAAAAGGAUUCCACCAGAAUAUGGAAAUGUGGUUGAAAAACACAGCAAAAGGUUCAUUUCUAACAUCCAGUAUCCAAUAGAGCCUAAUAGUAACAGGGACACUGUAUUAAAACUUGUAUCAGGAAGUUAAGUGAGCUUUAUGCUUGAUAAGUAGCUAAGCAAACAUCCGGGGUAGAAUGAAAGCUCAAGUGUGCCUACCAUAAAUGUGCCAACAUUUUCCAAAACUGCCAGUUUUUACAUACUCUUCAAAUGUUUUACUGUGAAAUAUAUAUGAUAUGAUUUUCCUCAUUUUCAUGUCCAUGUCUCAUGUACUGGAAUUUGACUAUUUUAUGUAAAUAAGAUCAUCUUUGGUGUCACUUUCAUUUUUAAUAUCACUAAACAUUUCAUAUGUCAGUGUUUGUUUAUUAAAAUUGCGUGUAUGCAGUUUAACAAAGCUGAGUUUUGGUUUUUUUUUUCAUCACCGGUGAUAAUAUUGAGUUUCAUGGUCUGUAGUUGUGUAUAUUUUAUGGUCACAUCAUGUCCACUUAAUAUCAAGGCUCAUAGCGCCCUCUGUUGAUCUUUUAAGAAACUACACACAGUCGUAUCCUCUGAUCUGUGAAGAGUAAAUAAACUCCCAAUUUA